CUUCGGUUGAUGAAAAGUGGGGCAGUUGCAAAAAACCACGGCGCAAUUGCAAAAUAAAUCCGGAAGAUACAGUCACCGGAAAUCAAUGGUCGCAAUUAGUACUGGAUGGAAUUAGAAGAGAUUCAAGACAUUAACGCAGAGGCAUACAAGUUCUUGUCGAAACAAAUCCGAAGAAAAGAAUUACACGAUUAAAGCAUCGACUACCACUUGGGUCCUUCACCAUGGCCAACAAUGAAGGCUCUACACUUCCGUUUAAGAUACUUUGGAACGUUGGUUGGGUGUUCUUCGCAAGUUAUUACUUUAAUUGGGGCGAAAAUCAAGCAACGGUCGUGCAUCCAGUAGACGGCUCCGGUUGGGUUGCAGAUGGCGCUCUAGGACGUUACGUCGGACACGAAUAAAAGGACCAUACGAAAAUAUUUGUACAACCGCUUAGAGUCCAAUCAAAGCUUUGUCAUUCCAAUACUUCAUUAAGAAACGACCGGCAACAAAUUAUUAAUAUAAAUGUAAUUUAUUCAGAAUGAUAUACGCAAAAGAAUA
Molecule: long non-coding RNA, 537 nt
Filed under: Orussus abietinus
Lineage: Eukaryota; Metazoa; Arthropoda; Insecta; Hymenoptera; Orussidae
Description: uncharacterized LOC105696687, transcript variant X1
Source: RNAcentral